RNAcentral lists this long non-coding RNA (1634 nucleotides) under Homo sapiens (human). Its description in RNAcentral is "HSALNT0358004". Lineage: Eukaryota; Metazoa; Chordata; Mammalia; Primates; Hominidae. The record is from RNAcentral.
GAGGGAGUACACUUUGGCCUUCCCUCUCAGAUUCCAACUUUGUAGGUUUGAGAGUGGUGUUGGCAGGAUUGGCAUUUUGGAAAGAAUCUUUUGUGAGUCUAAUGGAGAUGGUCCCAGGAUCACACUUUGAGAAACAUUGCAAGGUGGUUAGAGGAUGGUGAAAUCAUUGAAGUUAAGAAUCAGACUCUUUUCUUUCUUUGAUUUCCUUUACCCUUGAAGCUAGUACUUUUUCCACAUUAUUAAACCAUCUUGAAGCAUUUUAGUCUGGGAACAUAAUUUAUAACUGCAUUAUUUCCAGUAGCUAAGAGGUGGAAACAACCUAAAUGUUAAUCAGCAGAGACAGGGAUAAAAAAAUGUGAUAUAGACAUACAAUGGAAUAUUGCUCAGGAUUAAAAAAAGGAAAUCCUGUCAUAUGCUACAACAUAGAUAAACCUGGAGGUCAUCAUGCUAACUUAAAUAAACCAGUCACAGACACAUACCACAUGAUUCCACUUACAUGAGGUAUCUAAAAUAGCCAUACUCUUAGAAACAGAAAGUAGAAUGGGUAGUUACCAAGGGAUAGGGAUGAAGAAAGGGAGAGUUGUUUAGUGGUUAUAGAGUUUUGGUUUUGCAAGAUAAGGAAGUUCUGUGUUUCUUUUUUACAACAAUGUGCAUGUAGUCAACACUAUUGUAAUGUACACUGAAAAAUGGUUAAAAUGGUAAAUUUUGUUACUCCUCCCAUCCCACUUUUUUAGACAGGGUCUGGCUCCUGUCACCUAGGCUAGAGUGCAGUGGUGUGAUCAUAGCUCACUGCAACCUUGAACUCCUGGGCUCAAGCAGUACUCCUGCCUAAGCCUCCCCAAUAGCUAGGACUAUGGUUAUGUGCCACUAGGCUCAGCUAAUUUUUUUAGGUUUUGUAGAGACAGUCUUGCCAUGUUGCCCAGGCUAGUGUUGAACUUCUGGCCUCAAGCGAUCCUCCUGUCUCGGCCUCUCAAAGCACUGGGAUUACAGGGUGUGAACCACUAUGCCUGGCCUAUGUUUUUUUUUUUAACCAUAAUUAAAAAAAAAAAAAAAAGAAACCACCUGUCUGCAUUCUGAUAUUUUACCUGAUAGGACAAAUUUGCCUUAGGUAAACCUUUAUAAACAGGCAUGAUCUUUUAGAAACUACUCAAACGUUUUAAAAGGAAGAGCAAGAGCAAGUGUCAGUUAUGACACUUGAAGAGUCAUAACUGGUUACCUUUGUUACAGUUUAAAAAAGGUAGCACUUUCUGUGUUUCACAGGGUGAAUGCCUUCAUCCAUUGGAACCUGAACCAUGAGUAUUUCCUUCUGAGACUUUCAUCAAACUAAGUCUGCAUGAAGCCUGAGUCCUGUGGUAACUGGAACCUCAUAAUAGCAUUUACAUUUGGUGUUAAAAUGCACCCAACAGGAAAAAGGAUUCAGUUAUUUUCAAGCUUCCAAAUUCCAAAUGUGCUGAAUAGACAUUUCCUUUAAAAAAUAAAUAUACAAAAUGGAUUUGUGUGACUUGAAGUUUAAAAGAAAUGUUCUUGCAUGCCAUAGUUAAGAAUUGUAACAAUAUCACAUUCUCAAGUUUACUUAUUUUAAAAGUAGACUGUCAUGGUUUGGCUCAGCUACUAAAUUAAAUUAUUGCUGGCUU